This 307-nucleotide long non-coding RNA is filed under the name Monodelphis domestica (gray short-tailed opossum). RNAcentral's name for it is "lncRNA (ENSMODG00000044102.1)". The record is from RNAcentral. Lineage: Eukaryota; Metazoa; Chordata; Mammalia; Didelphimorphia; Didelphidae.
AGUUGACCCUGGAACUGGAGCCUAGAGGAGUUCCUCAGACUGCUUCCUUGAGACGGUCACGUGAUUCCUGCUUAAGAACUCCUAUUUAGAAGACAUCUAGUAAGUCCCUUUGAACAUCUAUGGAGGCCCUAUGGGAGAACAUGGAUGAAAACUGCAAAAGAAGACAAAAACUACAUCUUUCCAAUCCACCUACUGUGGCACCAUUUGAAGAAAGGACCCAAAGGAAGAUUGUGUUGCUAAUGUCUUAGAAGAGCCCGUGGUCUUGCCAUUGCUGCCUGACUAAUUGCUACAAAUAACAGAUGGGAAG